UACGGAGGAUCCAAGCGUUAUCCGGAAUUAUUGGGUUUAAAGGGUCCGCAGGCUGUUUGUUAAGUCAGAGGUGAAAUCCUACCGCUCAACGGUAGAACUGCCUUUGAUACUGGCAAACUUGAGUUAUUGUGAAGUAGUUAGAAUGUGUAGUGUAGCGGUGAAAUGCAUAGAUAUUACACAGAAUACCGAUUGCGAAAGCAGAUUACUAACAAUAUACUGACGCUGAGGGACGAAAGCGUGGGUAGCGAACAGG
This 253-nucleotide ribosomal RNA is filed under the name uncultured bacterium. RNAcentral describes it as "partial 16S ribosomal RNA". It matches the Rfam family "Bacterial small subunit ribosomal RNA", at positions 524 to 776 of the family's 1533-position model. The record is from RNAcentral.